Molecule: long non-coding RNA, 652 nt
Filed under: Junco hyemalis (dark-eyed junco)
Lineage: Eukaryota; Metazoa; Chordata; Aves; Passeriformes; Passerellidae
Description: lncRNA (ENSJHYG00000007599.1)
Source: RNAcentral
AAAAGAAAAGAAAAGAAAAGAAAAGAAAAGAAAAGAAAAGAAAAGAAAAGGAGUUACAGCCCAUCUGAGCACCUGAAGGCUGGCCUCAGAGGCAAAACCCACAUUGUUUAAUGUGUUGUGUUAUUUUAGGGCACACCUAUGACAUUUAAGAGGCACAUUUUUAAGACUAACCUCAGUGGCAGAAAUCUUCUUUUCUGUAGCAUGGAGUCCUUUGCCCAAGGACAGCACUGUCAGAAGGACACCCACUGCAAUCUGGCCAAAUCCAGUUUUCAGGUGUGUGUUUGAAAGGAAAAUUGCCUGAAAUGACAGUACCAGAAAUCUGCAUGUGCAUUAUCAUAUUUCAUAUUCAAUAUGAGAAUAGAAGUAGAUGAAUCCUCAAUGGCUAAUGACCUUGGAGGACUGUGAUAGCUGGAGAUUUUCUCAGAAUAAGAAAGCCCCACAAGUUUUGGGAUCCAUUGAUGAUGUAUGGUUUGUAUUAUCUUUAGAAAAGACACACUACCAGGGAAAAAUAUUGUAUAUCAUCUCAGCAGGGGACUUGGAGCUGUUUAGCACUAUGUAAUUGGAUCUAGGACUAAUCCUUAACUUUGAUGAGGCCAAGAGGAGCUACACUACUGCUAUUUCCAGCACAUUAAUGAUAGACAAAAUGCUUAAA